RNAcentral lists this ribosomal RNA (485 nucleotides) under uncultured bacterium. RNAcentral's name for it is "bacterial SSU rRNA". It matches the Rfam family "Bacterial small subunit ribosomal RNA", at positions 31 to 507 of the family's 1533-position model. The record is from RNAcentral.
GAACGCUGGCGGCAGGCCUAAUACAUGCAAGUCGAACGGCAGCACAGCAGAGCUUGCUCUGUGGGUGGCGAGUGGCGGACGGGUGAGGAAUACGUGGGAAUCUGCCCAGUCGUGGGGAUAACGUAGGGAACUUACGCUAAUACCGCAUGCGCCCUUCGGGGGAAAGCCGGGGACCUUCGGGCCUGGCGCGAUUGGAUGAGCCCACGUCGGAUUAGCUAGUUGGCGGGGUAAAGGCCCACCAAGGCGACGAUCCGUAGCUGGUCUGAGAGGAUGAUCAGCCACACUGGAACUGAGACACGGUCCAGACUCCUACGGGAGGCAGCAGUAGGGAAUAUUGGACAAUGGGCGCAAGCCUGAUCCAGCCAUGCCGCGUGAGUGAAGAAGGCCCUCGGGUUGUAAAGCUCUUUUGUCCGGAAAGAAAAGCGCCGGGUUAAUACCCUGGUGUCCUGACGGUACCGGAAGAAUAAGCACCGGCUAACUUCGUG